GACCUCCCAGGAUCGCAUCUGGAGAGUGGUUCGUAUCCUGCCAGCUUCGGAGACCGGAGGGAAAGCAAGCCUGGCAGAGGUACCCAUUCCAUUCUCAGUUUGCUCAGUAGCUGGAGAUUGGAAGACACUCUGCAACAAUG
This 140-nucleotide small nucleolar RNA is filed under the name Suricata suricatta (meerkat). The record is from RNAcentral. Lineage: Eukaryota; Metazoa; Chordata; Mammalia; Carnivora; Herpestidae.